AAUUUUGGACAAUGGGGGCAACCCUGAUCCAGCCAUCCCGCGUGUGCGAUGAAGGCCUUCGGGUUGUAAAGCACUUUUGGCGGGGAAGAAAUGGCUCUGGUUAAUACCUGGAGCUGCAGACGGUACCUGCAGAAUAAGCACCGGCUAACUACGUUCCAGCAGCCGCGGUAAUACGUAGGGUGCAAGCGUUAAUCGGAAUUACUGGGCGUAAAGCGUGCGCAGGCGGUUCGGCAAGAAGGAUGUGAAAUCCCAGGGCUUAACCUUGGAACCGCAUUCUUAAAUGCAGGGCUAGAGUAUGUCAGAGGGAGGUAGAAUUCCGCGUGUAGCAGUGAAAUGCGUAGAGAUGCGGAGGAAUACCGAUGGCGAAGGCAGCCCCCUGGGAUAAUACUGACGCUCAUGCACGAAAGCGUGGGGAGCAAACAGG
This 424-nucleotide ribosomal RNA is filed under the name uncultured bacterium. Its description in RNAcentral is "partial 16S ribosomal RNA". It matches the Rfam family "Bacterial small subunit ribosomal RNA", at positions 360 to 776 of the family's 1533-position model. The record is from RNAcentral.